This 207-nucleotide ribosomal RNA is filed under the name uncultured bacterium. RNAcentral's name for it is "partial 16S ribosomal RNA". It matches the Rfam family "Bacterial small subunit ribosomal RNA", at positions 568 to 774 of the family's 1533-position model. The record is from RNAcentral.
UGCGUAGGCGGCUUUUUAAGUCGGAUGUGAAAUCCCUGAGCUUAACUUAGGAAUUGCAUUCGAUACUGGGAAGCUAGAGUAUGGGAGAGGAUGGUAGAAUUCCAGGUGUAGCGGUGAAAUGCGUAGAGAUCUGGAGGAAUACCGAUGGCGAAGGCAGCCAUCUGGCCUAAUACUGACGCUGAGGCGCGAAAGCGUGGGGAGCAAACA